UUUUCGUAGAUUUCCUUACGGAUAGGUUUGGCAAGUGCGGAAAAAUCGUGAACAGUUUCACAUUUGUUAUAAGAUUUGGAAGAUUUUUUUAAAAGUGAUUGUUCCAUCCGGUUUAAACAUAUAAUUUAAUUUUUUUUUUCAUUAAAA
Molecule: non-coding RNA, 147 nt
Organism: Caenorhabditis elegans
Lineage: Eukaryota; Metazoa; Nematoda; Chromadorea; Rhabditida; Rhabditidae
Source: Ensembl